RNAcentral lists this ribosomal RNA (433 nucleotides) under uncultured bacterium. RNAcentral describes it as "partial 16S ribosomal RNA". It matches the Rfam family "Bacterial small subunit ribosomal RNA", at positions 28 to 507 of the family's 1533-position model. The record is from RNAcentral.
GACGAACGCUGGCGGCAUGCCUAACACAUGCAAGUCGAACGAGACCUUCGGGUCUUUGUGCGCUCGUGUGCUUAACACGUGGGAACCUGCCCUUAAGUUCGGAAUACCUCCCCGAAAGGUGUGCUAAUACCGGAUAAUGUCUUCGGGGCAAAGAUUUAUCGCCUUUGGAUGGGCCCGCGUUGGAUUAGUUAGUUGGUAGGGUAAAAGCAUACCAAGGCGACGAUGCAUAGCUGGUCGGUGAGGAUGCUCAUCCACAAUGGGAAUGAGACACGGACCAGACUCGUACGGGAGGCAGCAGUGGGGAAUAUUAGACACUGGGCGCAAGUCUGACAAAGCCACGCCGCGUGAGUGAUGAAGGCCUUAGGAUUGUACAGCUCUCUUACACGGGAUGAUAAUGACAGUACCGGGAAAAUAAGCGCCGGCUAACUACGUG